AAUGAACGUUGGCGGCGUGGAUUAGGCAUGCAAGUCGUGCGAUAACCCCGCAAGGGGGGAAAGCGGCGAAAGGGAGAGUAACGCGUGGGUACCUGCCCCUUGGUCCGGAAUAGCUGCGGGAAACUGCAGGUAAUGCCGGAUAAUAUCCUCGGGUCAAAGGUGUGAUUCCGCCGAGGGAGGGGCCCGCGUUCUAUUAGCUAGUUGGUAGGGUAAUGGCCUACCAAGGCGACGAUGGAUACCGGGUGUGAGAGCAUGACCCGGCUCACUGGGACUGAGACACUGCCCAGACGCCUACGGGUGGCUGCAGUCGAGAAUCUUCGGCAAUGGGCGCAAGCCUGACCGAGCGACGCCGCGUGCGGGAUGAGGGCCUUCGGGUUGUAAACCGCUGUCGUAGAGGAGGAAAUGCCAUGGGGUUCUCUCCAUGGUUUGACCUAUUCUAGGAGGAAGGACGGGCUAAGUUCGUGCCAGCCGCCGCAGUAA
RNAcentral lists this ribosomal RNA (480 nucleotides) under uncultured bacterium. RNAcentral's name for it is "partial 16S ribosomal RNA". It matches the Rfam family "Bacterial small subunit ribosomal RNA", at positions 28 to 523 of the family's 1533-position model. The record is from RNAcentral.